UACGAAGGGGGCUAGCGUUGUUCGGAAUCACUGGGCGUAAAGCGCACGCAGGCGGAUCGUUAAGUCAGGGGUGAAAUCCCGAGGCUCAACCGUGGAACUGCUGGGUAUACUGCCUGUCUUGAGUCAUCUAGGGGCGAGCGGAACAAAUGGUGGAGCGGUGAAAUGCGUAGAUAUCAUUUGGAACGCCAAUGGUGAAAACAGCUCGCUGGGGAUGUACUGACGCUGAGACACGAAAGCCAGGGGAGCAAACGGG
RNAcentral lists this ribosomal RNA (253 nucleotides) under uncultured bacterium. Its description in RNAcentral is "partial 16S ribosomal RNA". It matches the Rfam family "Bacterial small subunit ribosomal RNA", at positions 524 to 776 of the family's 1533-position model. The record is from RNAcentral.